AGAAAUCACUGCUAAAACCGCAUAUGCCGUGAACAUCGCAUGAUGAAAACGGGAAAAGAGCAAUCUGCUAAUAGAUGGGCUUGCGUCUGAUUAGCUAGUUGGUGUGGUAAAGGCAUACCAAGGCAACGAUCAGUAGCCGGACUGAGAGGUUGAACGGCCACAUUGGGACUGAGAUACGGCCCAGACUCCUACGGGAGGCAGCAGUCGGGAAUAUUGCGCAAUGGAGGAAACUCUGACGCAGUGACGCCGCGUAUGGGAAGAAGGUUUUCGGAUUGUAAACCAUUUUAGACAAGGAAGAAACUUUAUAGUACUUGUAGAAUAAGCUCCGGCUAACUACGUGCCAGCAGCCGCGGUAAUACGUAGGGAGCAAGCGUUAUCCGGAUUUAUUGGGUGUAAAGGGUGCGUAGACGGGAAGGUAAGUUAGUUGUGAAAUCCCUCGGCUCAACUGAGGAACUGCGACUAAAACUGCUUUUCUUGAGUGCUGGAGAGGAAAGUGGAAUUCCUAGUGUAGCGGUGAAAUGCGUAGAUAUUAGGAGGAACACCAGUGGCGAAGGCGACUUUCUGGACAGUAACUGACGUUGAGGCACGAAAGUGUGGGGAGCAAACAGGAUUAGAUACCCUGGUAG
Molecule: ribosomal RNA, 626 nt
Filed under: uncultured bacterium
Lineage: Bacteria
Description: bacterial SSU rRNA
Rfam family: Bacterial small subunit ribosomal RNA
Source: RNAcentral